GGGGAUCUAGCUCAAAUGGUAGAGCGCUCGUUUAGCGUACGAGAGGCACAGGGAUCGAUGCCCUGGUUCUCCAC
Molecule: transfer RNA, 74 nt
Filed under: Thermodesulfobacteriota bacterium
Lineage: Bacteria; Pseudomonadati; Thermodesulfobacteriota
Description: tRNA-Ala
Rfam family: tRNA
About the family: Transfer RNA (tRNA) molecules are approximately 80 nucleotides in length. Their secondary structure includes four short double-helical elements and three loops (D, anti-codon, and T loops). Further hydrogen bonds mediate the characteristic L-shaped molecular structure. tRNAs have two regions of fundamental functional importance: the anti-codon, which is responsible for specific mRNA codon recognition, and the 3' end, to which the tRNAs corresponding amino acid is attached (by aminoacyl-tRNA synthetases). tRNAs cope with the degeneracy of the genetic code in two manners: having more than one tRNA (with a specific anti-codon) for a particular amino acid; and 'wobble' base-pairing, i.e. permitting non-standard base-pairing at the 3rd anti-codon position.
Source: RNAcentral